CCCUUAGAUGUUCUGGGCCGCACGCGCGCUACAAUGAUGCAGGCAACGAGUGCCGCUCCUUAGCCGAAAGGCUUGGGGAAUCUUGAAAACUGCAUCGUGCUAGGGAUAGAUGAUUGCAAUCGUGCAUCUUGAACGAGGAAUGCCUUGUAGGCGUGAGUCAUCAACUCGCGCUGAAUACGUCCCUGCCCUUUGUACACACCGCCCGUCGCUCCUACCGAUUGGAUGGUCCGGUGAACUGGUCGGACUGCUGUUUGAAAUUGCGGGUGCAGUUGAUUCACGGGAAGUCUAGUAAACCUUAUCAUCUAGAGGAAGGAGAAGUCGUAACA
RNAcentral lists this ribosomal RNA (326 nucleotides) under uncultured eukaryote. Its description in RNAcentral is "partial 18S ribosomal RNA". It matches the Rfam family "Eukaryotic small subunit ribosomal RNA", at positions 1470 to 1796 of the family's 1831-position model. The record is from RNAcentral.